AUCAAUUUCUGCAGCAGGGAAGACUUCUAUGGCAUUCACAAAAGCAAAAGAUGGAUCAUAGGAUGGCUUUAAGGAGAUACUGAAUUCUCUUGCGUUGAUGGUGAGCAAAAAUUCCUCAAUCACGGGGAAUUAAUUUGGGAGAUGCUACAAUUGGAUAAUACUAAAAACCCAGCAGCCCAGACAUCGAAUAAAGCAUUACGCAGAUUAGCCGGCGAUGAGAAAACGAAGAAAUGAAGUCGUACGAGCUAGA
This 250-nucleotide unclassified non-coding RNA is filed under the name Hevea brasiliensis (rubber tree). Lineage: Eukaryota; Viridiplantae; Streptophyta; Magnoliopsida; Malpighiales; Euphorbiaceae. The record is from RNAcentral.